RNAcentral lists this ribosomal RNA (512 nucleotides) under Myrmecia pyriformis (in: ants). RNAcentral's name for it is "Myrmecia pyriformis Smith, 1858 partial 16S large subunit ribosomal RNA". The record is from RNAcentral. Lineage: Eukaryota; Metazoa; Arthropoda; Insecta; Hymenoptera; Formicidae.
AAUCAUGUAAGAUUUUAAAAGUCGAACAGACUUAAAUAUUUAAAUUUCUCCACCUAAAUUUUAUCUUAAUUCAACAUCGAGGUCGCAAACAUUUUUAUCAAUAUGAUCUUUCCAAAAAUAUUACGCUGUUAUCCCUAAGGUAAUUAAUUUUAUAUUUUAAAUUAAUAAUAAUUAAGUCAUUAAUUUAUGUUAUUUAUUUAUUAAAGUUUUAUUAAUUUAAUUAUCCCCCCAACAAAAUAUAAAAUAUAUAAAUUUAUUUAAAAUUUAUAAAAAUAAUUAUUUUAUAUAUUAUUAUAUAAAAUUCUAUAGGGUCUUCUCGUCCCAUAAAAUAAUUUAAGUAUUUUUACUUAAAAUAAAAUUUCUUUUUUUUAAUUUGAAACAGUAUAAAUUUCAUCAAUUCCUUCAUACAAGUCUACAAUUAAUAAACAAUUUAUUAUGCUACCUUUGCACAGUCAAUUUACUGCAGCUAUUUAAUUAUAAAAUCAUUGAGCAGAAACAAUUUUAAAUUAUAC